This 694-nucleotide ribosomal RNA is filed under the name Kitasatospora sp. UA-VH0908. RNAcentral's name for it is "bacterial SSU rRNA". It matches the Rfam family "Bacterial small subunit ribosomal RNA", at positions 360 to 1064 of the family's 1533-position model. The record is from RNAcentral. Lineage: Bacteria; Bacillati; Actinomycetota; Actinomycetes; Kitasatosporales; Streptomycetaceae.
AAUAUUGCACAAUGGGCGAAAGCCUGAUGCAGCGACGCCGCGUGAGGGAUGAAGGCCUUCGGGUCGUAAACCUCUUUCAGCAGGGAAGAAGCGCAAGUGACGGUACCUGCAGAAGAAGCACCGGCUAACUACGUGCCAGCAGCCGCGGUAAUACGUAGGGUGCGAGCGUUGUCCGGAAUUAUUGGGCGUAAAGAGCUCGUAGGCGGCUUGUCGCGUCGGAUGUGAAAGCCCGGGGCUUAACCCCGGGUCUGCAUUCGAUACGGGCAGGCUAGAGUGUGGUAGGGGAGAUCGGAAUUCCUGGUGUAGCGGUGAAAUGCGCAGAUAUCAGGAGGAACACCGGUGGCGAAGGCGGAUCUCUGGGCCAUUACUGACGCUGAGGAGCGAAAGCGUGGGGAGCGAACAGGAUUAGAUACCCUGGUAGUCCACGCCGUAAACGGUGGGAACUAGGUGUUGGCGACAUUCCACGUCGUCGGUGCCGCAGCUAACGCAUUAAGUUCCCCGCCUGGUGAGUACGGCCGCAAGGCUAAAACUCAAAGGAAUUGACGGGGGCCCGCACAAGCAGCGGAGCAUGUGGCUUAGUUCGACGCACCGCGAAGAACCUUACCAAGGCUUGACAUAUACCGGAAACGGCUAGAGAUAGCCGCGCCCUUGUGGUCCGGUAUACAGGUGGUGCAAUGGUUGUCGUCAGCUCGAG